Molecule: ribosomal RNA, 421 nt
Filed under: uncultured bacterium
Lineage: Bacteria
Description: bacterial SSU rRNA
Rfam family: Bacterial small subunit ribosomal RNA
Source: RNAcentral
GCUUGUUGGUGAGGCAACGGCUCACCAAGGCAACGACGGGUAGCUGGUCUGAGAGGAUGGCCAGCCACAUUGGGACUGAGAUACGGCCCAGACUCCUACGGGAGGCAGCAGUGGGGAAUCUUGCGCAAUGGCCUAACGGCUGACGCAGCGACGCCGCGUGUGGGAUGAAGCUCCUCGGAGUGUAAACCACUGUUGCCCGGGACGAAUAGCUCGAUUAAUCGAGCCUGACGGUACCGGGUGAGGAAGCACCGGCUAACUCCGUGCCAGCAGCCGCGGUAAUACGGGGGGUGCGAGCGUUGUCCGGAAUCACUGGGCGUAAAGGGCGCGUAGGUGGUUUGAUAAGGGUGUGGUGAAAGUCCGGGGCUCAACCCCGGAUCUGCCGUGCCGACUGUCAAACUCGAGGACUGUAGAGGCAGACGGA